UACGGGGGGGGCAAGCGUUGUUCGGAAUUACUGGGCGUAAAGGGCUCGUAGGCGGCCAACUAAGUCAUACGUGAAAUCCCUCGGCUUAACCGGGGAACUGCGUCUGAUACUGGAUGGCUUGAGUUCGGGAGAGGGAUGCGGAAUUCCAGGUGUAGCGGUGAAAUGCGUAGAUAUCUGGAGGAACACCGGUGGCGAAGGCGGCAUCCUGGGCCAACACUGACGCUCAUGCACGAAAGCGUGGGGAGCAAACAGG
This 253-nucleotide ribosomal RNA is filed under the name uncultured bacterium. RNAcentral describes it as "partial 16S ribosomal RNA". It matches the Rfam family "Bacterial small subunit ribosomal RNA", at positions 524 to 776 of the family's 1533-position model. The record is from RNAcentral.